Molecule: ribosomal RNA, 253 nt
Filed under: uncultured bacterium
Lineage: Bacteria
Description: partial 16S ribosomal RNA
Rfam family: Bacterial small subunit ribosomal RNA
Source: RNAcentral
UACAUGGGGUGCAAACGUUGCUCGGAAUUAUUGGGCGUAAAGCGCGCGUAGGCGGUUGCUUAUGUCGGAUGUGAAAGCCCUCGGCUCAACUGAGGAAGUGCAUCCGAAACUGGGCAGCUAGAGUACUAAAGAGGGUCGCGGAAUUCCCGGUGUAGAGGUGAAAUUCGUAGAUAUCAGGAGGAACACCGGUGGCGAAGGCGACCCGCUGGCCAGCGACUGACGCUGAGACGCGAAAGCGUGGGGAGCAAACAGG